This is a non-coding RNA of Mus caroli (Ryukyu mouse), 785 nucleotides long. NCBI's taxonomy places the organism in Eukaryota, Metazoa, Chordata, Mammalia, Rodentia, Muridae. The record is from RefSeq and is a predicted model, not a curated record.
GUUUGACUUCCUGUCCUGACUUCCUGCCUUAAUGAAGUACCUCGGGAUGUGAAGGGUAUGGAAUAUCUGACAAUGGACAAAUCAUCUGCCAGAAGCUAAAGGAAGCUGAGAAAAAGUUGUUUCCUCAAUACUCACUGAGCCUGCCUGAAUACCCUGAACCAUAAAGCCUCUGGUUGGAAACAGAACGGAACCUCCUUCCACCAAUCACCUUGACAACCAGAAGGAAAAGAUGUGAAGCUGGGUAUUGUUGAAGAAGAGGGCAAUCCAAACAACGGCUCUAUAGUAAGAGAUAUGAGAGGAAAAUCCUUCUAGGAGAUGGGGAAAGAGAGGCUGGCUGCUUCUCUUUCCACUGUGCCCCUCAGCAGAUGGCACAAACAUCACCAUGGUGACCACAUGAAACUUCUGAGGCUGCAUCCAACUCCUGCCAUCCCUUCAUGCUCACCUGUCCUGGAUCUCUAAGAGGUCUGUUAAGACUGCAGAAACUCUCCAGUCCAAGGCUCCUGCUUGUUCCUACGUUCUAAUCUCCUGUUACCAGAAUCUGUCAUAUCUUCAGAUGCCCUACCCUGGUCAUUGCCUAUGCCUCUCGGCCUUGGCUUUGCUUCCUUUUUUUAUGAUUCAAAUCCUAAUCAAUGUGGAUUGCAUCCACACCUACAGGCAACAGCCACCUGCAAGCCUAUAGAAGCAAGGACACUAUCCCACACUCCAUCUCAAGCCUUCUUCUUCUUGGUCUUUCAAUACUUUAGUGACCCAUCUCAUCAAUGAAAUCUGCUCUUUUGCAACUUUUA